RNAcentral lists this ribosomal RNA (743 nucleotides) under Pantoea dispersa. RNAcentral's name for it is "bacterial SSU rRNA". It matches the Rfam family "Bacterial small subunit ribosomal RNA", at positions 48 to 781 of the family's 1533-position model. The record is from RNAcentral. Lineage: Bacteria; Pseudomonadati; Pseudomonadota; Gammaproteobacteria; Enterobacterales; Erwiniaceae.
CUAACCAUGCAAGUCGAACGGCAGCACAGAAGAGCUUGCUCUUUGGGUGGCGAGUGGCGGACGGGUGAGUAAUGUCUGGGAAACUGCCCGAUGGAGGGGGAUAACUACUGGAAACGGUAGCUAAUACCGCAUAACGUCGCAAGACCAAAGUGGGGGACCUUCGGGCCUCACACCAUCGGAUGUGCCCAGAUGGGAUUAGCUAGUAGGUGGGGUAAUGGCUCACCUAGGCGACGAUCCCUAGCUGGUCUGAGAGGAUGACCAGCCACACUGGAACUGAGACACGGUCCAGACUCCUACGGGAGGCAGCAGUGGGGAAUAUUGCACAAUGGGCGCAAGCCUGAUGCAGCCAUGCCGCGUGUAUGAAGAAGGCCUUCGGGUUGUAAAGUACUUUCAGCGGGGAGGAAGGCGGUGAGGUUAAUAACCUUGCCGAUUGACGUUACCCGCAGAAGAAGCACCGGCUAACUCCGUGCCAGCAGCCGCGGUAAUACGGAGGGUGCAAGCGUUAAUCGGAAUUACUGGGCGUAAAGCGCACGCAGGCGGUCUGUUAAGUCAGAUGUGAAAUCCCCGGGCUUAACCUGGGAACUGCAUUUGAAACUGGCAGGCUUGAGUCUCGUAGAGGGGGGUAGAAUUCCAGGUGUAGCGGUGAAAUGCGUAGAGAUCUGGAGGAAUACCGGUGGCGAAGGCGGCCCCCUGGACGAAGACUGACGCUCAGGUGCGAAAGCGUGGGGAGCAAACAGGAUUAG